Molecule: long non-coding RNA, 559 nt
Organism: Cotesia glomerata
Lineage: Eukaryota; Metazoa; Arthropoda; Insecta; Hymenoptera; Braconidae
Exons: 2
Source: RefSeq, a predicted model, not a curated record
UUGUAUUUAUGCACUUAUAUAGUAAUCGAAAUGUCAUCCAUAAGUAUGUUAAUUUUUUUUUCAUUAUUAUUUAUUAUCACCGCGCUAUUUUUAUCCCGAUAAAUAUUUUAAAAUAAUUUAUUAUUACGUCAGGGCCAGUAAUUUAACCAUUUAAUAAAAGCGAUUAUUGGAGUUUAUUAAAAUCCUUGAUAAUACGUCUGUUCGAGGUCUGGAUCCAUAUGAGGUUUGGAAGAUUAGUUAUAUAUGAAAAAUUCUCCUAUGACACACACUGUACUCCCACGCAGUUCUUAACAUUUUAUUUCUGUUGAUAUAAUAUUAUAUCUUGGCGUUCCCACUAUAGCUUCAGCAACUUUUAUAUUAUAAACGGUUUUCAAUAUUAUUUAUUGCGUAAUAUUAUACUCCAAUUCGCAUUGAGGCGCUGUCAUUUAUCGGUUAUUAAUCGUUAUUGCGUUAGAAGUAAGACGGAAGAUAUUAUUUUUGUUUGUAUGAACAAGUGAGAAAAGAGAUGCUAGGCACACCUUGGCCAAGAUUAUAUUCUUUCGGCUAUACUUAAUGUACA